This 253-nucleotide ribosomal RNA is filed under the name uncultured bacterium. Its description in RNAcentral is "partial 16S ribosomal RNA". It matches the Rfam family "Bacterial small subunit ribosomal RNA", at positions 524 to 776 of the family's 1533-position model. The record is from RNAcentral.
UACAUGGGGUGCAAACGUUGCUCGGAAUUAUUGGGCGUAAAGCGCGCGUAGGCGGUUACUUAUGUCGGAUGUGAAAGCCCCCGGCUCAACUGGGGAGGGUCACGCGAUACUGAUCGACUCGAAGGCAGGAGAGGGAAGUGGAAUUCCCGGUGUAGUGGUGAAAUGCGUAGAUAUCGGGAGGAACACCAGUGGCGAAGGCGACUUCCUGGCCUGUUCUUGACGCUGAGGCGCGAAAGCGUGGGGAGCAAACCGG